RNAcentral lists this unclassified non-coding RNA (321 nucleotides) under Piskurozyma sp. RNAcentral's name for it is "partial contains 5.8S ribosomal RNA, internal transcribed spacer 2, and large subunit ribosomal RNA". Lineage: Eukaryota; Fungi; Basidiomycota; Tremellomycetes; Filobasidiales; Piskurozymaceae. The record is from RNAcentral.
CGCACCUUGCGCUCCAUGGUAUUCCGUGGAGUAUGCCUGUUUGAGUGUCAUGAAAACAAUCAACCUUGGUUUUGGGGCAACCCUUGAUCUCGGCUUGGACUUGGGCGUUUGCCAUCUUCACGGGUGGCUCGCCUCAAAUGAAUUAGCUGGACCUGUUUGUGAGGAAUGGUUCUACUCGGCGUAAUAAGUAUUUCGCUGAGGACAUGGCUUCGGCUGUGGCCUUCUUCUCGACGAUCGUCUGCUUUCCAACCCCGUUCUCCUCGGAGACGCACUUUUUUAUGAUCUGGCCUCAAAUCAGGUAGGACUACCCGCUGAACUUAA